RNAcentral lists this ribosomal RNA (414 nucleotides) under Triticum aestivum (bread wheat). RNAcentral describes it as "partial small subunit ribosomal RNA". Lineage: Eukaryota; Viridiplantae; Streptophyta; Magnoliopsida; Poales; Poaceae. The record is from RNAcentral.
AUGGAGGAGCCACGAUGGCUCGGUGGUUCUCUGCUCCAGCGAACGCAGGCGGCAGUCAUGCCAAGCAGGUUCAUGCGCUCCCGCCAGCUCUCGAGCGAGCAUGCUCGUGCACACUCUAGACGCCAGAUCCUGCAGAAGGAGGACGAGCUGCAUGAUGCGUUGUCUAAGGCUAACGAGCAGCAUCUUUCAGCACAAGCCACUCAAAAAAGACCAUUUAACCUUAUCCGCUUGCAGGUGUACUCACAAAGGGCUCGGGGUGUGUUAGAUUUGGCUUGCAAGGUGACACUUUACGUUUAUGGUGGUGCUUUCCUGCUUGAUAUCACUGGCGCCGGCAGGAUGUUAGGGUUAGGGCCAGAAAUCAAUGAAGACAACAUUCAAAGACUGAGAACCAAAGAUGGCUCAGUUGAAUUAUGA